AAAAAAAGGAAAAGAGAAGAAAGAAACUCAAUUUUAACAGAUGCAGCAAAUCUAAUUCGAAUCGUGGUCGGUUGGAUCGUAUCGCAUAAACUAUUCCUCUAACAUCAAAUAAAUUAAUGAUUCCUUAGUUGGUGGUCUAAAAGUGUGUGUCGGUUAGCUUGCCAAUUGUUACGAAGUAAUAUUAUCGAAGAUUAUCAUUUCACAAAGUACAAAUUCGGUCCAGUAAUAUUUGAAUUCUGUAAACAAUUUAAAGAACAGGAUAGGAUUUCGCUGAAGUAAUAAAAGAAGAUAAAAAAAAGAAGAAAAAUGAAUUAGAUAUCGAGCACUUAUGUUGGUAUCUAUGCUCGGCUCAACUCCAGUCGCAAGUUCGUAAUCUUAUUUUGCGAUUAACCUUUCGCACGAUGACUCACCACUACCAUUACUACUAUUAGUACUGUUACAACUACUAUUAUUUCUAUUGCUACAACAACUACUGCUACUAGUAAUACUAUUAAAACUACUACUGUUACUGGUAGUACAAUUACAAAUAUUACUAUUACUAGUUGUCCUACUACAACAACUAUUACUUCUACUAGUACUACUACCAAUAGUCUAUUGCAAUUUUGACUAAUACUAUUACCAGUAAUCUACUACGAGUUUUACUAAUCAAUUAUUACGACUACUACGACCACCAAUACCACUACUACUACCACUGCUACCACCAACACACUACCAGCAGCAGAACUACCUCCAAUAUUCGCACUAUUCUAUUUAAGUUUAAGAUAGAGAUCACGAGCAGCGGAAUCCUUGCAUGAGACGUUAUUAUUAUGACUCGUUCUCGAGCUCGACGCUCCUCAAACUCGGCCAAAGCUCGUCCCGAGCCGAGGAAGUGCUCUCGGCUUGCCAAGGAGACGUUCUUUUGAAAAAUCCAAUUAUCCCUUCUACUCUGACACGUCGAUCGCCACGCACGUCCAUCUAUCAUACUUUUUCUUUUUCUAUCUUUCUUUUUUUUUCUUUUUCCCCGACAUUCGGCCUUUCGUCAAACUGCGACGUCACGUUUUAACCGUGCCAAAUAAUAAUACGUUCGUGACGUCACGGCCAAGACGAAAAUUCCUUUGGAAAUUUUCCUCAAGAUUUUUAAAACUAUUAACAACUAUCAAAUAAUAACAUUGGGAAUGAAAAUUUCCUUUUUCUUUAUUUUAAUUAAUCCAUUUAUCGUUUUACAUCUCUAUUCGUGAUCUUAUAUUAUAGAACAGAAAAUAAAAAUUAUUUGAUUU
RNAcentral lists this long non-coding RNA (1256 nucleotides) under Polistes fuscatus (common paper wasp). Its description in RNAcentral is "uncharacterized LOC122516380". The record is from RNAcentral. Lineage: Eukaryota; Metazoa; Arthropoda; Insecta; Hymenoptera; Vespidae.